RNAcentral lists this ribosomal RNA (370 nucleotides) under uncultured organism. Its description in RNAcentral is "partial 16S ribosomal RNA". It matches the Rfam family "Bacterial small subunit ribosomal RNA", at positions 527 to 896 of the family's 1533-position model. The record is from RNAcentral.
AGAGGGUGCAAGCGUUAAUCGGAAUUACUGGGCGUAAAGCGCACGUAGGUGGAUAUUUAAGUCGGGUGUGAAAGCCCCGGGCUCAACCUGGGAACUGCAUUCGAUACUGAGUAUCUAGAGUAUGGUAGAGGGAAGUGGAAUUUCCGGUGUAGCGGUGAAAUGCGUAGAUAUCGGAAGGAACACCAGUGGCGAAGGCGGCUUCCUGGACCAAUACUGACACUGAGGUGCGAAAGCGUGGGGAGCAAACAGGGAUUAGAUACCCUGGUAGUCCACGCCGUCAACGAUGAGAACUAGACGUUGGGAGGUGCGCCUCUUAGUGUCGAAGCUAACGCGUUAAGUUCUCCGCCUGGGGAGUACGGUCGCAAGAUUA